RNA transcript from Myripristis murdjan (pinecone soldierfish), 1259 nucleotides. It is a transcript of the gene named ras-related C3 botulinum toxin substrate 2-like, with no coding region annotated. The transcript has 7 exons. Lineage: Eukaryota; Metazoa; Chordata; Actinopteri; Holocentriformes; Holocentridae. The record is from RefSeq and is a predicted model, not a curated record.
GUGCUUUCCUCUGUGCCUCUCAAAGUGUCAGAGUGAGGAGCAGAGACGGCGCUGAGCGGAGCAGGAUGCAGGCUAUCAAAUGUGUGGUCGUGGGAGACGGCGCUGUGGGAAAAACUUGUCUUCUCAUCAGCUACACAACCAAUGCCUUCCCAGGAGAGUACAUUCCUACUGUAUUUGACAACUACUCAGCGAAUGUGAUGGUGGACGGCAAGCCCAUCAACCUGGGCCUCUGGGAUACGGCUGGACAGGAAGACUAUGACAGGCUCCGCCCACUGUCCUAUCCCCAGACGGAUGUAUUUCUCAUCUGUUUCUCCCUGGUGAGCCCUGCGUCCUAUGAGAACGUCCGAGCUAAGUGGUACAAUGAAGUCCACCACCACUGCCAAACCGCACCCAUCAUCCUGGUCGGUACCAAGCUGGACCUGCGGGAUGACAAGGAGACUAUUGAGAUGCUGAAGGAAAAGAAGAUGGCACCCAUCACCUACCCUCAGGGCCUAGCUCUCGCUAAGGAGAUAGGUCGAAGCAGUGAAGUACCUGGAGUGCUCAGCUCUGACCCAGCGUGGCCUGAAAACUGUGUUUGACGAGGCCAUCCGGGCCGUGCUCUGCCCCCAGCCCAGCAAGGUCAAGAAAAGGGUGUGCACGGUGCUGUAAAUGGACCGGUGGGGAGAGAAAGUGAGAGACGGGCUACUGACCCGAGGUUGAAAGAAGAUUUAUGGGAAACUACAACCAGCAUUGCCUUAGAGCUGUAAUGGUAAUAAUGAUGAUAAGAUAAUAGAGAAGUUAAAAUUGAUUACAAUAAAGGAACAACACAUUUUGUAACCAAGCAAAUUAGGAGGUGGCACUGAAACCCAUUUCCCAUUUCCUGUAAUGAUGACACUGUGGAUUCAUCGUGUUUGCUCACAUUAAAUGCUGUUAAAGGCUGCCUCUCACUGCCACCAGGGGUUGCCAGUGAGCAGCGCUGCAAAAUGCAGCCUCACAGAAUCAUAACAGUUAUUCAUGAGAGCAAACAUGACAUUUUGAUCAAAUGCAGACACACUACUAUACACUGUAUACUGUAAACUGAAAACGUGGAGUCCAUUGGAAUGAUUAGCAUUCAGAUCAUGGUGUUUUUGAGAGUAAAGAACAAUGAAAAUAUGUAAUAAUAACUGGAAGGAUAAUUUAACAGAAAAAAAUAUAAAUAUUAUUUCUUGUGAUAUUAAAAUAAAACAUGCACUGGAGAAUAUUAUCUCAGGUGAUGGAAUAAUGAUGUAAAUAAAGUUUGA